Molecule: transfer RNA, 72 nt
Filed under: bacterium
Lineage: Bacteria
Description: tRNA-Met
Rfam family: tRNA
About the family: Transfer RNA (tRNA) molecules are approximately 80 nucleotides in length. Their secondary structure includes four short double-helical elements and three loops (D, anti-codon, and T loops).
Source: RNAcentral
GCCGGCGUAGCUCAGUGGUAGAGCAAACGUUUCAUAAGCGUUAGGUCCCAAGUUCGAUCCUUGGCGCCGGCA